This 253-nucleotide ribosomal RNA is filed under the name uncultured bacterium. RNAcentral's name for it is "partial 16S ribosomal RNA". It matches the Rfam family "Bacterial small subunit ribosomal RNA", at positions 524 to 776 of the family's 1533-position model. The record is from RNAcentral.
UACGUAGGGUGCGAGCGUUGUCCGGAAUUACUGGGCGUAAAGCGCACGUAGGCGGCUUUGUAAGUUAGAGGUGAAAGCCUGGUGCUCAACACCAGAAUUGCCUUUAAGACUGCAUCGCUUGAACGUCGGAGAGGUGAGUGGAAUUCCGAGUGUAGAGGUGAAAUUCGUAGAUAUUCGCAAGAACACCAGUGGCGAAGGCGGCUCACUGGCCCGGUACUGACGCUGAGGUGCGAAAGCGUGGGGAGCAAACAGG